RNAcentral lists this ribosomal RNA (253 nucleotides) under uncultured bacterium. RNAcentral's name for it is "partial 16S ribosomal RNA". It matches the Rfam family "Bacterial small subunit ribosomal RNA", at positions 524 to 776 of the family's 1533-position model. The record is from RNAcentral.
UACGAAGGGGGCUAGCGUUGCUCGGAAUCACUGGGCGUAAAGGGCGCGUAGGCGGCUACUCAAGUCGGGGGUGAAAGCCCGGGGCUCAACCCCGGAACUGCCCUCGAAACUAGGUAGCUAGAAUCUUGGAGAGGUCAGUGGAAUUCCGAGUGUAGAGGUGAAAUUCGUAGAUAUUCGGAAGAACACCAGUGGCGAAGGCGACUGACUGGACAAGUAUUGACGCUGAGGUGCGAAAGCGUGGGGAGCAAACAGG